RNAcentral lists this ribosomal RNA (460 nucleotides) under uncultured bacterium. RNAcentral describes it as "partial 16S ribosomal RNA". It matches the Rfam family "Bacterial small subunit ribosomal RNA", at positions 338 to 795 of the family's 1533-position model. The record is from RNAcentral.
CCUACGGGAGGCAGCAGUGAGGAAUAUUGGUCAAUGGACGAGAGUCUGAACCAGCCAAGUAGCGUGAAGGAUGACUGCCCUAUGGGUUGUAAACUUCUUUUAUAUGGGAAUAAAAUGUUCCACGUGUGGGAUUUUGUAUGUACCAUAUGAAUAAGGAUCGGCUAACUCCGUGCCAGCAGCCGCGGUAAUACGGAGGAUCCGAGCGUUAUCCGGAUUUAUUGGGUUUAAAGGGAGCGUAGGUGGAUUGUUAAGUCAGUUGUGAAAGUUUGGGGCUCAACCGUAAAAUUGCAGUUGAAACUGGCAGUCUUGAGUACAGUAGAGGUGGGCGGAAUUCGUGGUGUAGCGGUGAAAUGCUUAGAUAUCACGAAGAACUCCGAUUGCGAAGGCAGUUCACUGGACUGCAACUGACACUGAGGCUCGAAAGUGUGGGUAUCAAACAGGAUUAGAUACCCGAGUAGUC